GGUUGUUGCUGGUUCUCUAGGGAGCAUGUGCACACCUUGUCAUCUUUAUAUCUCCACCUGUGCACUUUUUGUAGACCUUUUCAGGUCUAUGUUGCCUCAUUUUACCCCAAUGUAUGUCAAUAGAAUGUUGUGCCUAUAUAUAAUAUAUACAACUUUCAGCAACGGAUCUCUUGGCUCUCGCAUCGAUGAAGAACGCAGCGAAAUGCGAUAAGUAAUGUGAAUUGCAGAAUUCAGUGAAUCAUCGAAUCUUUGAACGCACCUUGCGCUCCUUGGUAUUCCGAGGAGCAUGCCUGUUUGAGUGUCAUUAAUAUAAUCAACCUUCUCUUGUUUUGAGAAUGGUUUGGAUGUGGGGGAUUUGCUGGCCUCUCUCAAAAGGUUCAGCUCCCCUGAAAUGCAUUAGCAGAACAACCUUUGCUCAUUGGUGUGAUAACUAUCUACGCUUAUGAAUAUGAGGGGCAGUUCAGCUUUCUAACGGUCUUUGGACAAUUCAUCAUUAAUGUGACCUCAAAUCAGGUAGGACUACCCGCUGAACUUAAGCAUAUCAAUAAGGCGGAGGAA
This 558-nucleotide ribosomal RNA is filed under the name uncultured Cortinariaceae. RNAcentral's name for it is "eukaryotic LSU rRNA". The stretch from base 151 to 304 matches the Rfam family "5.8S ribosomal RNA". Lineage: Eukaryota; Fungi; Basidiomycota; Agaricomycetes; Agaricales; Cortinariaceae. The record is from RNAcentral.